This 497-nucleotide ribosomal RNA is filed under the name uncultured bacterium. RNAcentral's name for it is "partial 16S ribosomal RNA". It matches the Rfam family "Bacterial small subunit ribosomal RNA", at positions 28 to 507 of the family's 1533-position model. The record is from RNAcentral.
GACGAACGCUGGCGGCGUGCCUAACACAUGCAAGUCGAACGAAAAGACCCGGAGUUUGCGCCUCUGACGUUUGCGGCGGACGGGAGCGUCACAUGUGUAUCACCUACCUAUCAGACUGGGAUAAUUACGGGAAACCGGCUCUUAUACCGGAUGAUAUAUUGCACCGCGUUGUGCAAUCGUGAGAUUCGGUUUUUGUGUCUGUAAUAGCUGGCUCCGAGCCGCAUUAGCUGGUUGGUAAGGUAACGGCUUACCAAGGCGACGAUGCGUAGCCGACCUGAGCGAGAGGUCGGCCACACUGGAAGUGAGCCAGCGUCCAGACUCCUGCGGGAGGCAGCAGUAGGGAAUCGUCCGCAAUGGGCGAGAGCCUGACGGAGCAACGCGGCGGGAGUGAUGAAGGCGCUCGGAUCGGAAAGCUCUGUUAUUAGUGGAGAACAAAUGUGUAAUUAACUGUGUAGGUCUUGACGGUACCGGGUCAAAAAGCCACGGCUAACUACGUG